RNAcentral lists this long non-coding RNA (255 nucleotides) under Marmota monax (woodchuck). Lineage: Eukaryota; Metazoa; Chordata; Mammalia; Rodentia; Sciuridae. The record is from RNAcentral.
UAGCCUUAAAUGAUUAUUUCUUCUCUCCAAAUGUUACAAUACAGCAAUGCCUUUUAUAAUAUCCCCUUUAUCUAUUUUUUUCUGGUACAUUUGAGUGAAGGGGGGCUCAGUAUUUCACAAAGCAACCCUUUCCAUCAGUGGACACUUAUAACUGUAAAGAAGUUCUUCUUAUCUUGAACUGCUAUCCUAAUUCCUGAAUCCUCUCACACUCUGGUCAUAAUCCUGCCUUCUAGGUCCCAUUUAUCAGUUAAUGGA